AAAGAAUUAGUUAAAUAUAUAACAUAAAUAUGUCACAUUUAAAUUACUGAGAUUAUUACUCACUACUCUUUU
This 72-nucleotide transfer RNA is filed under the name Himalopsyche malenanda. RNAcentral's name for it is "tRNA-Asp". Lineage: Eukaryota; Metazoa; Arthropoda; Insecta; Trichoptera; Rhyacophilidae. The record is from RNAcentral.